GACGAACGCUGGCGGCGUGCUUAACACAUGCAAGUCGAACGCUGAAGCUCAGCUUUUGUUGGGUGGAUGAGUGGCGAACGGGUGAGUAACACGUGAGUAACCUGCCUCCUUCUUUGGGAUAAUGCCCGGAAACGGGUGCUAAUACUGGAUAUUCACUGGUCUUCGCAUGGGGGUUGGUGGAAAGGGUUUUUCUGGUGGGGGAUGGGCUCGCGGCCUAUCAGCUUGUUGGUGGGGUGAUGGCCUACCAAGGCUUUGACGGGUAGCCGGCCUGAGAGGGUGACCGGUCACAUUGGGACUGAGAUACGGCCCAGACUCCUACGGGAGGCAGCAGUGGGGAAUAUUGCACAAUGGGCGCAAGCCUGAUGCAGCGACGCCGCGUGAGGGAUGGAGGCCUUCGGGUUGUGAACCUCUUUCGCUCAUGGUCAAGCCGCAACAAUGGUUGUGGUGAGGGUAGUGGGUAAAGAAGCGCCGGCUAACUACGUG
RNAcentral lists this ribosomal RNA (483 nucleotides) under uncultured bacterium. RNAcentral describes it as "partial 16S ribosomal RNA". It matches the Rfam family "Bacterial small subunit ribosomal RNA", at positions 28 to 507 of the family's 1533-position model. The record is from RNAcentral.